RNAcentral lists this ribosomal RNA (253 nucleotides) under uncultured bacterium. RNAcentral's name for it is "partial 16S ribosomal RNA". It matches the Rfam family "Bacterial small subunit ribosomal RNA", at positions 524 to 776 of the family's 1533-position model. The record is from RNAcentral.
UACGUAGGGAGCAAGCGUUGUCCGGAAUCAUUGGGCGUAAAGCGCGCGUAGGUGGCCUCGUAAGUCCGCUGUGAAAGUCAAAGGCUCAACCUUUGAAAGCCGGUGGAUACUGUGAGGCUAGAGUACGGAAGAGGCGAGUGGAAUUCCUGGUGUAGCGGUGAAAUGCGCAGAUAUCAGGAGGGACACCAAUGGCGAAGGCAGCUCGCUGGGACGUGACUGACGCUGAGACGCGAAAGCGUGGGGAGCAAACAGG